UAUUGGACUACCAUGGCGUUCACGGGUAACGGAGAAUUAGGGUUCGAUUCCGGAGAGGGAGCCUGAGAAACGGCUACCACAUCUAAGGAAGGCAGCAGGCGCGUAAAUUACCCAAUCCUGAUUCAGGGAGGUAGUGACAAGAAAUAACGGACUAAGACCUUCGGGUUUUAGGAUUGCAAUGAACCGAAUUUACACCCCUUAGUGAGGAUCGAUUGGAGGGCAAGUCUGGUGCCAGCAGCCGCGGUAAUUCCAGCUCCAAUAGCGUAUAUUAAAGUUGUUGCAGUUAAAAAGCUCGUAGUUGGAUUUCUGGGAGGGUGCCAAUGUCCGCCGACGUGCGUGUGCAGCGGCGCCCUUUCAUCCUUCUGUUAACGCCUCUCGGCGUUCAUUUGCUGGUGGCGGGCUCAGAUAUUUUACCUUGAGAAAAUUAGAGUGUUUCAGGCAGGCUAGGCCGGAAUACAUUAGCAUGGAAUAAUGGAAUACGACUACGGUCUCUUUGUUGGUUUGAGGGACUGCAGUAAUGAUUAAUAGGGAUAGUUGGGGCCAUUAGUACUUAACUGCCAGAGGUGGAAUUCUCGGAUUUGUUAAAGACUAACUUAUGCGAAAGCAUUUGCCAAGGAUGUUUUCA
RNAcentral lists this ribosomal RNA (625 nucleotides) under uncultured ciliate. RNAcentral's name for it is "SSU rRNA". It matches the Rfam family "Eukaryotic small subunit ribosomal RNA", at positions 334 to 972 of the family's 1831-position model. Lineage: Eukaryota; Ciliophora. The record is from RNAcentral.